Molecule: long non-coding RNA, 422 nt
Organism: Triplophysa rosa
Lineage: Eukaryota; Metazoa; Chordata; Actinopteri; Cypriniformes; Nemacheilidae
Exons: 4
Source: RefSeq, a predicted model, not a curated record
CAGCUAGCUCUCGUCCCGCCCUCCCAACAGUUCAACCAAUCCCGACAUUCAACAGCAGGACUGUUGGGGCUUGAAUCAUCACUUUCAACACUUGGCGAACCCACUGAGGAGCCGUCUUCAUCCAUAUACACAGCCUCGGGUAUCACUUGCUCUUCCUCAGCUGUUGGCUCUUGUAGCUUGGUCAAGGCACGACGUUUUUGUAACAGACCCUCUAGGCUUAUUCUCCAGCGCCUCCACAGUUGGCAGCCUCACCAGAUUCCCUAUUGGCAAGAGAUGAUCCCUAUGGAGUACUUUCACCCCACCUUUCCCUGUUUCAGGUUCUUGAUUAACACACGGUCUCCUGAGUCCACCGCUUGGAAAACCACUCUUUUGUCAUAGGAUCUUUUGUUACGCUGGUGAACCUUGUCAGCCUCUUCAGCAGC